This 253-nucleotide ribosomal RNA is filed under the name uncultured bacterium. RNAcentral describes it as "partial 16S ribosomal RNA". It matches the Rfam family "Bacterial small subunit ribosomal RNA", at positions 524 to 776 of the family's 1533-position model. The record is from RNAcentral.
UACGGAGGGAGCUAGCGUUGUUCGGAAUUACUGGGCGUAAAGCGCGCGUAGGCGGCUUUGUAAGUUAGAGGUGAAAGCCCGGGGCUCAACCCCGGAACAGCCUUUAAGACUGCAUCGCUAGAAUCCGGGAGAGGUGAGUGGAAUUCCGAGUGUAGAGGUGAAAUUCGUAGAUAUUCGGAAGAACACCAGUGGCGAAAGCGGCUCACUGGACCGGUAUUGACGCUGAGGUGCGAAAGCGUGGGGAGCAAACAGG